CCUAAUGACAUUCUGACUUAUGUGGCCGGUAGUUUGUUGUUUGUAAUCCUAGUUUGGGACUUCAAUAGUGAAUCUAUAGUUGCCACAUCAGUAGAUACCCAUUGUAAAGGAACAUGUUAAUGAUUUUUGGACUUCUGAUUAUGUCAGCAGAACCCUCUUAUGGCAUGGAGACAUCCUGUAAUGCUACACAGAACAUGUCGUGUUACGGAGCUCUGGGAGGAACUGUCUAUCUCCUGCUGAUGAAUGAUGCCACAGGAUCCGAACUUACAUUAACAAAAGACCCCACUGGUGCUAAUUCAAAGAUAUUCAAAAUGAAAAAAACAACGUUACCUAUAUAUUAAUUAAAGCCAGAUCAGAGUUCUUUAUCAAUAAUGGGACAUUUAAAAUAAAUAACACAGAGAGGAGUGAUUCUGCUAAAUAUUGUUUAGAAAUCCAUAAUUCAGAAGGAAGGUACUUGGAGACCAGAGGAGUACAACUGAUAAUUGGAGGAGGAUCUUAUGGGCCUGUCAUAGGGUCACUAGUAGCUGUGGUCCUGGUCCUUGCAGUGGUGGUGGGAGUUUACUGUAUUCGCAAGAGGAGGAACCCUCCACAGGCACCAGAUGCUGAUGAGAGUCCAGAACUGGAAUGUGAUGACAGAGGGAAACAGAGGGAGGCUCCAGAGGAGGUGGUGUAUGGACAGAUUGUAGUGCUGGAGGGUGCCAAACCAAACACUGAGAGAGACAGACCUGAGGGGCAGGAGGAGACUUUGUAUGCUGGAAUACAGCUUGGCCAAUGAGAGCUGCAUGUUCGAAGGGUUGGUCUUUUUGAAGUUGUAUGGAUGCCUUGUUCCUACAUUUGUUACUGAAACGAAUUGGAUUAACUUUCCCAUAUUACUGUUAUAUUUCAUGACAUUCAAUGCUGAGGGUUUUGUACAUUCUUUACCUAAAUAAAUAACCCAACAACUGGAC
This 947-nucleotide long non-coding RNA is filed under the name Salmo salar (Atlantic salmon). RNAcentral's name for it is "lncRNA (ENSSSAG00000118684.1)". Lineage: Eukaryota; Metazoa; Chordata; Actinopteri; Salmoniformes; Salmonidae. The record is from RNAcentral.